GAUGAAGAACGCAGCGAAAUGCGAUAAGUAGUGUGAAUUGCAGAAUUCAGUGAAUCAUCGAAUCUUUGAACGCACAUUGCGCCCUUUGGUAUUCCUUAGGGCAUGCCUGUUCGAGCGUCAUUUCAACCCUCGACCUCCCCUUGGGGAGGUCGGCGUUGGGGACCGGCAGCACACCGCCGGCCCUGAAAUGGAGUGGCGGCCCGUCCGCGGCGACCUCUGCGCAGUAAUACAGCUCGCACCGGGACCCCGACGCGGCCACGCCGUAAAACACCCAACUUCUGAACGUUGACCUCGAAUCAGGUAGGACUACCCGCUGAACUUAAGCAUAUCAAUAAGCGGAGGA
This 343-nucleotide unclassified non-coding RNA is filed under the name soil metagenome. Its description in RNAcentral is "partial contains 5.8S ribosomal RNA, internal transcribed spacer 2, and large subunit ribosomal RNA". The stretch from base 1 to 120 matches the Rfam family "5.8S ribosomal RNA", at positions 35 to 154 of the family's 154-position model. The record is from RNAcentral.